RNAcentral lists this ribosomal RNA (422 nucleotides) under uncultured bacterium. RNAcentral's name for it is "bacterial SSU rRNA". It matches the Rfam family "Bacterial small subunit ribosomal RNA", at positions 355 to 774 of the family's 1533-position model. The record is from RNAcentral.
UGAGGAAUAUUGGUCAAUGGGGGCAACCCUGAACCAGCCAAGUCGCGUGAAGGAUGAAGGUCUUAUGGAUUGUAAACUUCUUUUACACGGGAAUAAAGUGGGGGACGUGUCCCCCUUUGCAUGUACCGUGUGAAUAAGGAUCGGCUAACUCCGUGCCAGCAGCCGCGGUAAUACGGAGGAUCCGAGCGUGAUCCGGAUUUAUUGGGUUUAAAGGGUGCGCAGGCGGGAUGUUAAGUCGGCGGUGAAAUUUUGCAGCUCAACUGUAAAAGUGCCUUCGAUACUGGCCUCCUUGAGUGUGGAUGAAGUAGGCUGAAUUUGUGGUGUAGCGGUGAAAUGCUUAGAUAUCACGAGGAACUCCGAUUGCGCAGGCAGCUUACUAGGCCACAACUGACGCUCAUGCACGAAGGCGUGGGGAUCAAACA